UACGUAGGGUGGCAAGCGUUAAGUCGGAAUUACUGGGCGUAAAGCGUGCGCAGGCGGGUUAUAUAAGACAGUUGUCGAAAUCCCCGGGCACAACCUGGGAACUGCCAUCUGUGACUGUAUAGCUAGAGUACGGUAGAGGGGGAUGGAAUUCCGCGUGUAGCAGUGAAAUGCGUAGAUAUGCGGAGGAACACCGAUGGCGAAGGCAAUCCCCUGGACCUGUACUGACGCUCAUGCACGAGAGCGUGGGGAGCAAACAGG
This 258-nucleotide ribosomal RNA is filed under the name uncultured bacterium. RNAcentral describes it as "partial 16S ribosomal RNA". It matches the Rfam family "Bacterial small subunit ribosomal RNA", at positions 524 to 776 of the family's 1533-position model. The record is from RNAcentral.